CAGAGCAACACUAAUAUGACCUACCUACUAUGUUUUAUGUUAUUCUCUUUAAAGGUAAGUAGGUACCUUAAGUAACCUAUUAAAUUUUAUAGAUAAUGUCCUGAAUAAGAAUCCAUUAUAUUAUACAACUUCUGAUGAUUAUAUCCUCUAACUCCACGAGAAACAUAGUCUUAUACACAAACAACCCCUGAUGAUGAUAAUGAUUAUUUCCCCUUACUCCACGAGGAGCAUAUCUUAAAUACCUACAUAUACAACCCCUGCUGAUGAUGAUUAUUAUUUCCUCUCCAUGAGGAGCAUAGCCACAUACAACCCCUAAUCUUUUGUAAUUUUUUAAUGAGCUACAUAACAUUACUACAACCCCUACUUAUUAAGUACAUUUUAAUAAAUGUAUUAUUUCCAGGAAUUCCAUCCUAACUUUAUCAACUACCUAUCUAUCUUCACAAAUGCUUCCUUAUUACGUUCCGUUCCAAUACAAAACCUAGUCUCUUGCGCUUCCUAUUAAAUUUCUUUCGUUUAUAAGUUCGAUCACUCCACGGCAACAAAUUGUGAUUAUAUCAAGGAUAUAAUCACUUUCCUACCCCUAGUAUGUAACAAAUCAUUACGAACAAAACGCAGAGAGACUUAUUAUAACGUAAACAUGUUGAGAGUAUUAGUAAAGUGAGAAAUUAUAACUUGCAGUGAUUUUGUGAAUGUAAAAUAAUGCAGACUGCCAAAAUAUUAUACUAGUCUGUGACGCAAUAAAAGUUACUCUGUUAAAAAAAUAACCUUCUGUCUUUUUGUUGUUUGUGGUGCAAUGCUGCAUAAAGUUUUUCGAACUAAAAACAAACUUUUGAAACUUUCUUCUAUCCAUAAAAUUAAAAGAAAUGCCUUUAUGUAAAAACCACCAUAACAAGUAAAUAUUUACUUACUAAUCGCAAAGGCAAACAAAAAAACUUAAUGUUUUUUCGAGACAAACAUAAAAGAACAGAAAACUUGCUGCCUGACACCUAACAAGAAGAGAUGAAGCAAAAUCUAAUAUCCUGGUCUUUCGGUACCAAAUUGUAACGUUUCGCCUACCCUGCCGGCUACUUAACUCCUACCUAUUGGAUUUACUAAGAAGAUAUUUGAAACUACAACAAAACUUACUUGAGUGAAAUAAAAGUGAAACAAAUACUGCUUUGAAUUGGCCAUGAAACAUCCAGGGAAACCCUACGUUGUGUUGUAACCCAAUAAACGAAAGAUAGUGAAUUAAAUAAAACUAUGACCUAGAACUGAUUACAUACUUC
Plutella xylostella (diamondback moth) is the source of this 1265-nucleotide long non-coding RNA. RefSeq lists it as uncharacterized. Lineage: Eukaryota; Metazoa; Arthropoda; Insecta; Lepidoptera; Plutellidae. The record is from RefSeq and is a predicted model, not a curated record.